Molecule: ribosomal RNA, 497 nt
Filed under: uncultured bacterium
Lineage: Bacteria
Description: partial 16S ribosomal RNA
Rfam family: Bacterial small subunit ribosomal RNA
Source: RNAcentral
GAUGAACGCUGGCGGCGUGCCUAAUACAUGCAAGUCGAGCGAACGGACGAGAAGCUUGCUUCUCUGAUGUUAGCGGCGGACGGGUGUGUAACACGUGGAUAACCUACCUAUCAGACUGGGAUAACUUCGGGAAACCGGAGCUAAUACCGGAUAAUAUUUUGAACCGCAUUGUUCAAAAGUGAAAGACGGUCUUGCUGUCACUUAUAGAUGGAUCCGCGCUGCAUUAGCUAGUUGGUAAGGUAACGGCUUACCAAGGCAACGAUGCAUAGCCGACCUGAGAGAGUGAUCGGCCACACUGGAACUGAAACACGGUCCAGACUACUACGGGAGGCAGCAGUAGGGAAUCUGACGCAAUGGGCGAAAGCCUGACGGAGCAACGCCGCGUGAGUGAUGAAGGUCUUCGGAUCGUAAAGCUCUGUUAUUAGGGAAGAACAUAUGUGUAAGUAACUGUGCACAUCUUGACGGUACCUAAUCAGGAAGCCACGGCUAACUACGUG